Molecule: ribosomal RNA, 492 nt
Filed under: uncultured bacterium
Lineage: Bacteria
Description: partial 16S ribosomal RNA
Rfam family: Bacterial small subunit ribosomal RNA
Source: RNAcentral
AGUGAACGCUGGCGGUAGGCCUAACACAUGCAAGUCGAACGGCAGCACAGUAAGAGCUUGCUCUUACGGGUGGCGAGUGGCGGACGGGUGAGGAAUACAUCGGAAUCUACUUUUUCGUGGGGGAUAACGUAGGGAAACUUACGCUAAUACCGCAUACGACCUACGGGUGAAGGCAGGGGAUCUUCGGACCUUGCGCGAUUGAAUGAGCCGAUGUCGGAUUAGCUGGUUGGCGGGGUAAAGGCCCACCAAGGCGACGAUCCGUAGCUGGUCUGAGAGGAUGAUCAGCCACACUGGAACUGAGACACGGUCCAGACUCCUACGGGAGGCAGCAGUGGGGAAUAUUGGACAAUGGGCGCAAGCCUGAUCCAGCCAUACCGCGUGGGUGAAGAAGGCCUUCGGGUUGUAAAGCCCUUUUGUUGGGAAAGAAAAGCAGCAGGUUAAUACCCCGCUGUUCUGACGGUACCCAAAGAAUAAGCACCGGCUAACUUCGUG